UGCGGGGUAUACAAGCGGUCAAAGUGAAUGGGCUCAUAACCCAUUACCGAAAGGUUUCGAGGGUUCGAAUCCCUCCCCCGCUA
This 83-nucleotide transfer RNA is filed under the name Gammaproteobacteria bacterium. Its description in RNAcentral is "tRNA-Met". It matches the Rfam family "tRNA". Rfam says of the family: Transfer RNA (tRNA) molecules are approximately 80 nucleotides in length. Lineage: Bacteria; Pseudomonadati; Pseudomonadota; Gammaproteobacteria. The record is from RNAcentral.